Myotis lucifugus (little brown bat) is the source of this 2746-nucleotide long non-coding RNA. RefSeq lists it as uncharacterized. The transcript is spliced from 8 exons. Lineage: Eukaryota; Metazoa; Chordata; Mammalia; Chiroptera; Vespertilionidae. The record is from RefSeq and is a predicted model, not a curated record.
GCGGCCUUUUCCGGCCUCUGCAGCAGCGCGGGCGGCGCGGUAGCUGGGGACGCGCGGGCUUGGCCCGAGCCUUGCAGGCUGCAGAACAGUUUGGAAAAGCGCUUUUCUGGAUAAUAGUCCAGGCCCUCAUGUCCUCAUCAUAUAAAUGACGGGCCGCAGAGCGAGCAAGGAACCAAAGCCUCUUGCCAACAGCCAUGUGUGUGCGCCAUCUUGUGAACAUAUCUUCCAGCCCCAGUCAUAUCUUCCAAUGGCUACAGCCCUGCCCGAGAUCUUGACUGCAAUAUCCAGAACCAUAGCUGCCCAGGAUUUCAUUAGAGUUUCAAAAAUUAGGAGCUGCCAUCAGAAGGGGAUGGUUCAAACAACUUUCUGCGGAAUAGCUGUGAAACGGUGACGUACAAAUCCAGCCUCCAGGUCCCAGCACCAGCAGUAGUUCAUGAACCGGACAAAACAAGCCCUCAGGAAGUCCCCCAGCAGGAUGGUGAUGUACGUUACCAGCAUGUCGGACACCGUCAACCUCACGAAUUCCUGCAACGAGGAACACAGAGGGAGGGGUGGUCAGGGUUGGCCCUUGCCCACCUCUCCCAACUGACUGCAGCCAUGCACACUCUCCCCCACCCACCUGUAUUCUUCUCUGUGAUCCUCUGAAUUUGGGGGCACAGUGGUGGUGGUGCAGAGCAAAGAUCAGGCUUUGAAAUAUUCUUACAUAGGUCUGAGCUCUAUAAUUACUAAUUGUAUUGCUUUGAAAUAGUCUCUGAACCUCUUGAAGUUAAUAAUGUUAACCUUGCAGGGUUAUUGGGAAGCUUAGUGAUUAUGCAUGCAAAUUGCCUGGCACACUGGUAAUGCCCAAUGCUUGGCAGUUAUCAGCACAGAUACAGGAUCUGAAGGCUUGCCCCUUACUUUCCCCACCUGCUCUGAAAUACCAGCUGCCCCGGCUAAGACUAAAUCUGAUCAUUGUCACCAGGGACAACAGCUGGUUUUCUUUACCUCUGGCUAAAGAUUUUUUCUGGUUAUAUAGAGAAAAUAAUGCAGGUUUUUCACAGAGGCACAUAGCAAAAGAGGCAAAAACGUAUUACUUUUGGGGGGAAAUUUAAAGAUCUACCAGAUAAUAUCACAAACUUUAAGACAUCUAGUGGACUUGGAAUUCCUAGAAAGUACAGGGUCUGCUUUAUUCAUUUUUAUAUCCUCCAAAUUGAUUAAUAAAUUUUUGCUGGAUGAACAGCUGAUGAAUUUUCAGGGUUAUUCCUCAGUAAGAAUUCAGGUUUAUGUUUAAGUAAUAGACAACCCAGCAUGUAUCAGGUCUCCACUCUGUGCAAAGUGAUGCUCUGGGGCCUGGGCUGGAGGUGGUGGAGGACAUAAUGCCUCAAACCCAUCAUCAUCAACUAGCUCAGAAAGAUACAAACUUUUAUUACUGAUGGGAACAGUGAUGGGCAUUGAGGGAGGAGGGCAAGAGAGACACCCCUCAAGGAUGUGGGGCAGGAAAUGAGAGACUAUAUAGCAGAAUAUUUAAAAAGAAUCAUGUAGGUAACGAACUCUGUAUGGCCUUCUAAAGAGGAUUGGUUUUAUUGACUUGAAGAUUCUUUCUCUGUUACAUAUUGUGAUGAGUUGAAUGCAGGAGCUGGGGAAGCUCAGUGGCUCUACACCUUAAAGAUGAGGAAGAUUUGAAGAACAUGGGAAUCUGGACUGGAGGAGGAAGAGAUGAGAGCUGGAACAGAAGAUGGAGAUGCGGGGUUGGAAGGAACCAGGGAUGGCCCAACUGUUUCCACAGGAACAACAACUAAAGCCAGCACAUGCCACAACCUUACCACCUCAUAUCUGCCCUACCCCUCAAUGGAGCACCCCCAAAUCUAAACAGAAGAAGGGGCAAUUGACCAAAGUCCUUGGGUCUUUUCCAUGAAGUUAUCAUCCAUCCAUCCAUCCAUCCAAUCAUUCAUUCUUCUUUUGAGAAUAAUUGAUUCAGGGUCUAUUCUGGACAUAUGAGGCAGUGGUGACACAGAAGUGAACAAGAGAUGGAGCAUUCCUCAGAAAGUUCACAGUCUCAUAAGUGACAGAGAUGAACAAACAGUUAUAGAAUCUAUACUAAUAAAAGGCCUUCCUGCAGUUCUCUAUUUGCACCAGCUGUUCCCUCUGCUUUUUCUAGUCUCUGCUAAGAUUCCUCAGGGGGUGCUGGAGUCCCUCCUAUGCACUGCAGUGCUGCCCUGGGCUUGCCUCAGUGAAGCAUACCCUGCAGCAUGCUGUAAUGGAUGAGUCUGUCUCCUGGCCCAGAGUGUGAACACCCUUGGAACAGGACUGUGUUUCACUCUCUGCUGUUCCCUGAGGACCUGACGCAGAGGGCUCCAUAACCAUUCGCUGACAUUCUGCAUUUUGGAGAAUUCCUGGGAUCGCUUCACCACAAAGUAAAUGAGGUACCCACUCCCACACAAACAGCAGAUGAUGAGGAAGUUGGCCAGGACGCGGAGAAAUCUUGUCAGUAGACACUCAAGAAUCAUAAAAUGCUGGUGUGCCAGCCACCAUAUGGACACCGGAGAAGUGGCUGAGUUGAAAACAGGACUUAGGAGUGUGUGUUCAUGGAGCAUCGUCGAAAGCUUGGCCCUGUGUUAGGCAUUUGGGACACGAUCCUGGCCAGUUCCUCCUCAGACAGAGACUCCCCAGCAGAGGCGCUGGAGGCCAAGGAGGGCGAUCUGGAGGAGAGCCAGGGUAGAGCAGAGAGUGAAAAGGAGGCGCGUGUGGGAUCAGAGGAGCCCAUGGU